GGUUGGGAGAGGUUUUAGACAAGCUGUUGAGCCCAGUGGAAGAGCACUUCAUGGCCAAUAGUUUGUCUAAAAUCUCUCCCAACC
RNAcentral lists this microRNA precursor (84 nucleotides) under Alligator mississippiensis (American alligator). Its description in RNAcentral is "microRNA ami-mir-9600 precursor". The record is from miRBase by way of RNAcentral. Lineage: Eukaryota; Metazoa; Chordata; Crocodylia; Alligatoridae.